Long non-coding RNA from Anthonomus grandis grandis, 861 nucleotides. RefSeq lists it as uncharacterized. The transcript has 4 exons. NCBI's taxonomy places the organism in Eukaryota, Metazoa, Arthropoda, Insecta, Coleoptera, Curculionidae. The record is from RefSeq and is a predicted model, not a curated record.
UUCAGUAUCUUUCUUCAAAUCUUUUAAAUAGUGAUGGAGAUUUAAAAAUAGUUACUAAUAUUGGAACUAAAAUACAUGCAUGCAUCUGGUCAAGGUAUCUCUUCUCUCAACAAUAUUUCUUGUAAUAAUGGAGAAGAGGCAGACGGCCGAAUAAUACUGCAUGUUAUGGACGCAGUUAAGCAUAGAGCUCAGAGUGUCGUAGUUCGUUGUGCAGAUACAGAUGUUGUAGUAAUUUGUGUAUCAUUUUUUCAUAGCCUACAUUCUUUAGGCUUAAGAUAAUUGUGGAUACUUUAUGGCUGUGGAAAACAUAAAAGAUAUAUUGCAGCUUACGAUAUUGCUAUGGUUUUGGGAAAGAAUAAAUCCAAGGCUCUUCGUGGUAUGCAUGCUUUUACUGGAUGUGAUACAGUUUCGUUUUUUAUGUCAAAAGAAAAAUAUACAACACAUCUCUAUGGUAUUCGGGAUCCGGAAUAUCAGCGUGUUAACCCAGCACGCAAACAUCUUUUUGGUACAGAAAAUCGCCCACUACUUUUAAUUCCACUGACAGCCGCUGCUUUGAAACAACACACUCUUAGAGCAGCCUAUCAAGCAGGUCAAAUUUGGGGUAGAGCUGAUGUUUUGGAAAGUCCACCAGAGCCAAGUGAAUGGGGGUGGAAAAUUUGCGAUAAUGGAUGGAAGCCCAUCUGGUCAGAUUUACCAGGAAUUUGGCAAGAAAAAAUGAUCUUCCUUGCACUCUCAACUGUAGCAAAUGUAAAGGAAAAUGUCGGAACAAAAGCAAGCGAUAUGAUGGCAAUAGCGACGAUGAAGAAUCUGAAUAAUUUUGUUUAAGCUGCCUUAUUCUAAAUUAAAUUAAUGCUGUUAAGA